AUGGAAAAGAAAUAUGCUAAACCUAGAAUUAUUAGAUGGGUUCUCCUACUACAAGAAUUUUAUUUGCAUAUUAUUGAUAGAAAGGGAGCUGAAAACCCCACUGCAGACAACUUGUCUAGGUUAGAGAAUGUUCUUGAUGACCCACUACCUAUUGAUGAUAGCUUUCCUGACGAACAAUUAGCUGUCAUAAAUGCUUCUCCUACUGCUCCAUGGUAUGUUGAUUAUGCUAAUUACAUUGUUGCUAAAUUUAUACCACCUAGUUUCACGUACCAGCAAAAGAAAAAGUUUUUCUAUGAUCUAAGACAUUACUUCUAG
RNAcentral lists this ribosomal RNA (315 nucleotides) under Triticum aestivum (bread wheat). RNAcentral's name for it is "partial small subunit ribosomal RNA". The record is from RNAcentral. Lineage: Eukaryota; Viridiplantae; Streptophyta; Magnoliopsida; Poales; Poaceae.